RNAcentral lists this unclassified non-coding RNA (254 nucleotides) under uncultured Gemmatimonadota bacterium. RNAcentral's name for it is "uncultured Gemmatimonadetes bacterium contains 16S-23S intergenic spacer region". It matches the Rfam family "Bacterial small subunit ribosomal RNA", at positions 524 to 776 of the family's 1533-position model. The record is from RNAcentral. Lineage: Bacteria; Pseudomonadati; Gemmatimonadota.
UACGGAGGGUGCGAGCGUUAAUCGGAAUUAUUGGGCGUAAAGCGCGCGUAGGCGGCUCUUUAAGUCUCACUGUGAAAGCCCGGGGCUCAACCCCGGGAGGCCAGGGGAUACUGGAGGGCUGGAGACAGGGAGAGGCGAGUGGAAUUCCGGGUGUAGCGGUGGAAUGCGUAGAGAUCCGGAAGAACACCAGAGGCGAAGGCGGCUCGCUGGCCCUGAUCUGACGCUGAGGUGCGAAAGCGUGGGGAGCGAACAGG